Molecule: long non-coding RNA, 751 nt
Organism: Solanum dulcamara
Lineage: Eukaryota; Viridiplantae; Streptophyta; Magnoliopsida; Solanales; Solanaceae
Exons: 2
Source: RefSeq, a predicted model, not a curated record
UUCUAGUGUUCUUUCUAUGUUCACAUUAAACUCCACUUCCAGAUUUUGGUUUCAUGCAUGAGGUAAUAUUAUAGCAAAUCUUUGUUAUUUGUGAUAACUUGUUGAUUCUGGUUAGUUCGUACAUAUAUCCCUGUUUAAUUUUAAUUUAUUUCAUACAAAAACUGUGGUAUUUAACUGUUCAAUAGUAACACAAGCCUAUUCUAUAUUUGUUUUGCCUAAUACUCAUAUGUUUGACUGUUCUCCACCUCGAAUCAUUUUUGGGCAGACUUAAUCAACUGCGAGUACUUGUUGAUUUUGGUAAUUUCAAUACGUAACUCUCUGAUUAUUGCAUACUGCAUUACCCUUAUUUAAUUCUGCCUCUCAUUUAAAUUGGAACAACUUGUAUAUAAUUAGCUUGAUAAUGCUUGAACUUUGGGAUUUGUAGUAGGUCCUGUUAAGCUAUUGAUUUUGUCUUUGAGUCAUUACCUCCAUCUCCUUUCUCGAAUUAUACACUGGUUUUGAUGAGACUCUAAUCAUAUUCAGGCAUCUAUUUGGUUAGGUAAUUAUGGAAGAUUUCAUGAAUCAGUGGUUCUUGAACAUGGAAGUUCAAAAUGUCAAAGAGUGCCUGGGUUGGGGAUACAUCGGAAAGAGUGUUUACAUAGAGUUUUCUUUAUGUUGUAUUUCUUUAAAGUAUUACUUUUAUUCAGCCAUGUAAUAAUUGUAUAAGCAUUGCUCUCUAUAUAAUAAAAGAACUUGGGGAUUGUUUAAGGAA